UACAUGCAAGUCSAGCGGACUGAUGGGAGCUUGCUCCCUGAAGUCAGCGGCGGACGGGUGAGUAACACGUGGGUAACCUGCCUGUAAGACUGGGAUAACUCCGGGAAACCGGGGCUAAUACCGGAUAGUUCUUUUCCUCGCAUGAGGAAAAGUGGAAAGGUGGCUUUUGCUACCACUUACAGAUGGACCCGCGGCGCAUUAGCUAGUUGGUGRGGUAACGGSUCACCAAGGCGACGAUGCGUAGCCGACCUGAGAGGGUGAUCGGCCACACUGGGACUGAGACACGGCCCAAACUCCUACGGGAGGCAGCAGUAGGGAAUCUUCCACAAUGGACGAAAGUCUGACGGANCAACGCCGCGUGAGUGAUGAAGGUUUUCGGAUCGUAAAGCUCUGUUGUUAGGGAAGAACAAGUGCCGUUCGAACACGGCGGCGCCUUGACGGUACCUAACCAGAAAGCCACGGCUAACUACGUGCCAGCAGCCGCGGUAAUACGUAGGUGGCAAGCGUUGUCCGGAAUUAUUGGGCGUAAAGCGCGCGCAGGCGGUCUCUUAAGUCUGAUGUGAAAGCCCACGGCUCAACCGUGGAGGGUCAUUGGAAACUGGGGGACUUGAGUGCAGAAGAGGAAAGUGGAAUUCCACGUGUAGCGGUGAAAUGCGUAGAUAUGUGGAGGAACACCAGUGGCGA
This 684-nucleotide ribosomal RNA is filed under the name Bacillus sp. SP32. RNAcentral describes it as "bacterial SSU rRNA". It matches the Rfam family "Bacterial small subunit ribosomal RNA", at positions 52 to 718 of the family's 1533-position model. Lineage: Bacteria; Bacillati; Bacillota; Bacilli; Caryophanales; Bacillaceae. The record is from RNAcentral.